UACAGAGGUGGCAAGCGUUGUUCGGAAUUACUGGGCGUAAAGGGCGCGUAGGCGGUUCGUUAAGUCCUGUGUGAAAUCCCCCGGCUCAACUGGGGAACUGCACAGGAAACUAGCGGGCUUGAGUUCGGGAGAGGGAAGCGGAAUUCCGGGUGUAGCGGUGAAAUGCGUAGAUAUCCGGAGGAACACCGGUGGCGAAGGCGGCUUCCUGGACCGACACUGACGCUGAGGCGCGAAAGCUAGGGUAGCAAACGGG
Molecule: ribosomal RNA, 253 nt
Filed under: uncultured bacterium
Lineage: Bacteria
Description: partial 16S ribosomal RNA
Rfam family: Bacterial small subunit ribosomal RNA
Source: RNAcentral